This 1334-nucleotide ribosomal RNA is filed under the name Aedes albopictus (Asian tiger mosquito). RNAcentral describes it as "16S ribosomal RNA". Lineage: Eukaryota; Metazoa; Arthropoda; Insecta; Diptera; Culicidae. The record is from RNAcentral.
UAAAUUUUAUUUAUUAAUUUUAUUUAUUUAAGUAUUAUAUUUAAUAAAAAUAAUUUUAAUUCAAUAUAGUUUUAGUAUUUUUUAAAGAAAUAAUAAUUUUAAUAAUAGUUUAUUUGUAUUGUAAAAGAAGAUUGAAAUAAUUUGAAAAAUUUUUAUUUUAAAAGAAAAUUUAAUUUAUUGUACCUUGUGUAUCAGGGUUUAUUAAUUAAUUAAUUAUUAUAGUAAUUUUUCUCGAAUUUUAAAGAUUUAAUUAUAUAUAAAAGUUAUUGUGGAAUAAUUAUUUUUAAUAUAUAAUUAGAAAUGAAAUGUUAAUCGUUUUAAAAUAUAUCUAGUUUUUUAAGAAAUAAAUUUAAUUUAGAUUUAUAAAUUAAAAGUAUUAUUUAUUUAAUAUUUUUAAUUUAUAAAAUUAAUAUUUUAAGGGAUUAGCUUUAAAAUAAAUUUUUAAAUUUUAAAAAAGUAUUUAAUAAAUGUAAGCUUAAAAAUAGUUAUCAUUAAUAAAUUUGUUAUAAUUUAUUUUAAAUUUUUUAUUAUUUAUUAUAAAAUUAAAUUAUUUAUUAAAAUAUAAAUUUUAAUAUUAAUGAUUUAUAAAUUAUGGUAAAAUUAGUAUAUUUAAUUUAUAUAAAUUAUUUAAAUUGAAAGGUUUAAAUAAGGAAUUCGGCAAAUUAUAUAUUCACCUGUUUAUCAAAAACAUGUCUUUUUGUAUUUAAUUUAAAGUCUAACCUGCCCACUGAUAGAUAUUAAAGGGCCGCAGUAUUUUGACUGUGCGAAGGUAGCAUAAUCAGUAGUCUUUUAAUUGAAGGCUUGUAUGAAUGGUUGAAUGAGAUAUAUACUGUCUUUUUUAAAUUUUUAUAGAAUUUUAUUUUUUAAUUAAAAAGUUAAAAUAUAAUUAAAAGACGAGAAGACCCUAUAGAUCUUUAUUUUUUUUAAUUAUAAGUUAAAAAGAAUAAUUAAAUUUAUAGUUUUAUAAAAAAUUUUACUGGGGUGGUAUUAAAAUUUAAUUAACUUUUAUUAUUUGUUUACAUUAAUAUAUGUAUAUUUGAUCCAAUUUUAUUGAUUAAAAAAUUAAGUUACCUUAGGGAUAACAGCGUAAUUUUUUUUUAGAGUUCUUAUCGACAAAAAAGAUUGCGACCUCGAUGUUGGAUUAAGAAUUAUUUUUAGGUGUAGAAGUUUAAAGUUUAGGUCUGUUCGACCUUUGAAUUCUUACAUGAUCUGAGUUCAAACCGGCGUAAGCCAGGUUGGUUUCUAUCUUUAAUAAAUUAUUAUAUUAUAGUACGAAAGGACCUAAUAUAAAAAAUAUAAAUUUUAAAUUUAUGAAUUAUAUUAAUAUUUAAUAA